UAGCUCAGUUGGUAAAGUAUCUGCCUGCAGUGCAGAAGAACUGGGUUCAAUCCCUG
RNAcentral lists this transfer RNA (56 nucleotides) under Ovis aries (sheep). It matches the Rfam family "tRNA", at positions 8 to 63 of the family's 71-position model. From Rfam's summary of the family: Transfer RNA (tRNA) molecules are approximately 80 nucleotides in length. Their secondary structure includes four short double-helical elements and three loops (D, anti-codon, and T loops). The record is from Rfam by way of RNAcentral. Lineage: Eukaryota; Metazoa; Chordata; Mammalia; Artiodactyla; Bovidae.